This 342-nucleotide ribosomal RNA is filed under the name uncultured Bacillota bacterium. RNAcentral's name for it is "bacterial SSU rRNA". It matches the Rfam family "Bacterial small subunit ribosomal RNA", at positions 28 to 351 of the family's 1533-position model. Lineage: Bacteria; Bacillati; Bacillota. The record is from RNAcentral.
GAUGAACGCUGGCGGCGUGCCUAACACAUGCAAGUCGAGCGUGAUUGUUAUGAGUAGAGACUUCGGUCAAAGCGAGUAACAUGAAAGCGGCGGACGGGUGAGUAACGCGUGGGCAACCUGCCCCAUACACGAGGAUAGCCACUGGAAACGGUGAUUAAUACCUUAUAAGACCACGAAGUCGCAUGACUACGGGGUCAAAGAUUUAUCGGUAUGGGAUGAGCUCGCGUCUGAUUAGCUAGUUGGUGAGGUAAUGGCUCACCAAGGCGACGAUCAGUAGCCGACCUGAGAGGGUGAACGGCCACACUGGAACUGAGACACGGUCCAGACUCCUACGGGAGGCAG